UACGGAGGGUGCGAGCGUUAUCCGGAAUUAUUGGGCGUAAAGGGUGCGUAGGCGGCUUGGUAAGUCAGAUGUGAAAGCCUAGGGCUCAACCUGGAAACUGCAUCUGAUACUGGCAAGCUUGAGUCUUGUAGAGGGGGGUGGAAUUCCAGGUGUAGCGGUGAAAUGCGUAGAGAUCUGGAGGAAUACCGGUGGCGAAGGCGGCUCCCUGGACGAAGACUGACGCUGAUGCACGAAAGCGUGGGGAGCAAACAGG
Molecule: ribosomal RNA, 253 nt
Filed under: uncultured bacterium
Lineage: Bacteria
Description: partial 16S ribosomal RNA
Rfam family: Bacterial small subunit ribosomal RNA
Source: RNAcentral